This 71-nucleotide transfer RNA is filed under the name Loxodonta africana (African savanna elephant). It matches the Rfam family "tRNA". Rfam says of the family: Transfer RNA (tRNA) molecules are approximately 80 nucleotides in length. Their secondary structure includes four short double-helical elements and three loops (D, anti-codon, and T loops). Lineage: Eukaryota; Metazoa; Chordata; Mammalia; Proboscidea; Elephantidae. The record is from Rfam by way of RNAcentral.
GCCCUGGUGGCAUAAUGGUGAAGCUUUCAGCUGCUAACUGAAAGGUGGCAGUUUGAACCUACCCAACAGCU